UUUCUGAAAGCCAACAAAAUCUCAUCUUCAGACAAACCCCACCUUCUCAAACUAUCUAUUUUACCUUUCCAUUUUAUCGGGGACGUAUGUAAUUUCACUCUGAGUGCAAAGGCAAAAGCAGAUUUCGCAGGAUUAAAUCCCAUUCGUAUAAUUUCCUCGACAUUUCUACUAAAAUUGUCAACAUUCUGGCACAAAACUUUAGGCCACUUAGUCACCAACAGAGAGAUGGUGGAUUGAGGCAUUCCAAGCCCUCUUAAGACCAGUAAAUUGAAACUAAAGUUCUUCUUCACGUUGUACAGAUCAAUUGGUGUCAUGCGUUUCAAUGCCGCAACUGCUAUCCCAUCGGAAAGAAGUGAACUUUUAAGGAUAUUAUAACAUGGGAUCAGAUAUUUCUCCAAGCUCCGAACUAGGAAACCCGGAUUACUACAGAUCAUCUUUGGAAGGUCAUCGUUAGAAACCCCAAUGGAAUGGAGAAAUUCAAGCUUGGGCAAAACAGUUUUCUUGACAUUACAGGAAAGCAGAUGGGGAUUAAACCUAACAACUUUGGAGAUUUGGGGAUCGGAGAAUCCGUGAUCUCUGAGAAAGCUAAGGAAAGAGUCCGGUUUUUGAGGGCUUUUCAAGUGUAGUUUCUUAGAGACAGAAUUAGCGGCUUCUGGGGACAAUCCACAUGAAUUUAUGAGGUAUGAAAUAGU
This 692-nucleotide unclassified non-coding RNA is filed under the name Hevea brasiliensis (rubber tree). Lineage: Eukaryota; Viridiplantae; Streptophyta; Magnoliopsida; Malpighiales; Euphorbiaceae. The record is from RNAcentral.